This 175-nucleotide ribosomal RNA is filed under the name uncultured bacterium. RNAcentral's name for it is "partial 16S ribosomal RNA". It matches the Rfam family "Bacterial small subunit ribosomal RNA", at positions 778 to 951 of the family's 1533-position model. The record is from RNAcentral.
UUAGAUACCCUGGUAGUCCACGCCGUAAACGAUGAUUACUAGGUGUCGGGGACCCAAGGGUCUCCGGUGCCGCCGCAAACGCAUUAAGUAAUCCACCUGGGGAGUACGUUCGCAAGAAUGAAACUCAAAGGAAUUGACGGGGACCCGCACAAGCGGUGGAGCAUGUGGUUUAAUU